This 69-nucleotide transfer RNA is filed under the name Dendropsophus yaracuyanus. RNAcentral's name for it is "tRNA-Val". It matches the Rfam family "tRNA". From Rfam's summary of the family: Transfer RNA (tRNA) molecules are approximately 80 nucleotides in length. Their secondary structure includes four short double-helical elements and three loops (D, anti-codon, and T loops). Further hydrogen bonds mediate the characteristic L-shaped molecular structure. tRNAs have two regions of fundamental functional importance: the anti-codon, which is responsible for specific mRNA codon recognition, and the 3' end, to which the tRNAs corresponding amino acid is attached (by aminoacyl-tRNA synthetases). tRNAs cope with the degeneracy of the genetic code in two manners: having more than one tRNA (with a specific anti-codon) for a particular amino acid; and 'wobble' base-pairing, i.e. permitting non-standard base-pairing at the 3rd anti-codon position. The record is from RNAcentral. Lineage: Eukaryota; Metazoa; Chordata; Amphibia; Anura; Hylidae.
CAAAAUGUAGUUUAAUAAAAGCACCUCGCUUACACCGAGAAGAUACCUGUGAAACCCUAGUCAUUUUGA